Molecule: ribosomal RNA, 265 nt
Filed under: uncultured bacterium
Lineage: Bacteria
Description: partial 16S ribosomal RNA
Rfam family: Bacterial small subunit ribosomal RNA
Source: RNAcentral
GAUGAACGCUGACAGAAUGCUUAACACAUGCAAGUCGAUUCGAUUUACCUUCGGGUAUUGAGGAUGGCGGACGGGUGAGUAACGCGUAAGGAACUUGCCUCUUGGACUGGGACAACUGUUGGAAACGACAGCUAAUACCGGAUAUUAUGAGAUUCUCGCAUGGGAAACUUAUGAAAGCUAUAUGCGCCAAGAGAGAGCCUUGCGUUCCAUUAGCUAGUUGGUGGGGUAAUGGCCCACCAAGGCGACGAUGGAUAGCCGGCCUGAG